Molecule: long non-coding RNA, 903 nt
Organism: Rhinolophus ferrumequinum (greater horseshoe bat)
Lineage: Eukaryota; Metazoa; Chordata; Mammalia; Chiroptera; Rhinolophidae
Exons: 4
Source: RefSeq, a predicted model, not a curated record
GCAAUCUGCUCUAGCACUGGGGCUCAGGAGGCCUCUCAUUUCUUGCCUCCACACCUAGCCUUGCUGUUCUGUGCGGCGUGCACUCCUCCCUGCUUGCUGGAAUCCGAUUCAGUCUUCAGCACUCAGCCUCAGUGUCCUCCAGGAGCCUCUCACUGUCUCUACAGGCCAGAGCCAGCCUGUCUGCUCUGAACAGUCCUCCUCUCAUUACACGACUGCCUGUCUCCCUAGCAGCAGGACUAGGAAUGCCAAGACAACACGCUGCAUAGAUGGAUUGAAAGAAAACUUACUUGACCAGGGAAAAAGGUCAUCAGCUCUCUCUGGCUCAUGAACUGGCAGAGGACCUCACCCCAAAUACCUGGAAGCGCAUGGGCCCCUGAGCUCCAGGAGGCACAACCCCCACCAGAAGGACCUCAGCCAGCUUGCCAGAGCCCCAGGAUCUCUGCUGCCUCUGUUGUGAGAGCCUGCUCAACACCUCGAGCUGCACUUUGGCCCUGAACAGGGUGGCAUGGUGACCACUGGCUGCAGGCUGUUACAAAUAAUGAAGCACUGGUCCGGGGAGCCAGUUGCCCACCAGAACAGCCCAGGAAUGAACUGUGUGCUGUAUUAACGCCUGAGAAAGAUUGCUACAGCCCAAUUAAAAGGGGAUUGUGUGCCUGCGUGCGUGCGUGCGUGUGUGUGUAAAGGGACUGGAGGGAGUGGAAAGUAGAAUAUAAAUAAGAAUCAAGUAAAACUGAUCCCUGGAGACAGAUUAUAGACCACAAACAAACAGCUUGCCUAAAUGAUAGCUGCUUGAGUGAUGCUGGAGAUUGCAGCCGUGUUGCCAAAUGGCCCCAAACAGAAGGGAAGCUGGUUUGUCCCUGUUUGUCCUAUGGGGUGAUGCCUAUAAAUAAAUAAAUUCUGUAA